AAUCGGUACCCUCGCAAUUCUACAAGGUGAACCCCGCCAGGUCCGGAAGGAAGCAACGGUAAUUUUGGACGAAUGUGCCGAGUCGUGGCUGAUAAGG
This 97-nucleotide signal recognition particle RNA is filed under the name Legionellales bacterium. Its description in RNAcentral is "signal recognition particle sRNA small type". It matches the Rfam family "Bacterial small signal recognition particle RNA". Rfam says of the family: The signal recognition particle (SRP) is a universally conserved ribonucleoprotein involved in the co-translational targeting of proteins to membranes. The record is from RNAcentral. Lineage: Bacteria; Pseudomonadati; Pseudomonadota; Gammaproteobacteria; Legionellales.